RNAcentral lists this ribosomal RNA (483 nucleotides) under uncultured fungus. RNAcentral describes it as "eukaryotic LSU rRNA". The stretch from base 89 to 242 matches the Rfam family "5.8S ribosomal RNA". The record is from RNAcentral. Lineage: Eukaryota; Fungi.
GGUCUGCCGUCUUUGUUGAUGGGGGGCCUGGCCCGGAGGAGCCACACAAACAAAAUGUAAAGAAUGUAAACUAUCGUAACAAAAACAAAACUUUCAACAACGGAUUUCUUGGCUCUCGCAUCGAUGAAGAACGCAGCGAAAUGCGAUAAGUAAUGUGAAUUGCAGAAUUCAGUGAAUCAUCGAAUCUUUGAACGCACCUUGCGCCUCUUGGUAUUCCGAGAGGCAUGCCUGUUUGAGUGUCUUAUAAAAUCAAUCCCCACGGGUUUCUGACCUGGCGGUGGACUUGGAGUUGGGCGUCUGCCGGUCACACGGCUCGCCUUAAAGACCUUAGUGGGAUCAUCGGCCUAUGGCUUGACGUAAUAAGUUUCGUCUCGUCCGGUCUUUGGAGCCCGCUCACAACCCGCCCUCGGGCAACUACUUUAUGCUAGACCUCAAAUCAGGUAGGACUACCCGCUGAACUUAAGCAUAUCAAUAAGCGGAGGA